AUUGAACGCUGGCGGAAUGCUUUACACAUGCAAGUCGAACGGCAGCACGGGGCAACCUGGUGGCGAGUGGCGAACGGGUGAGUAAUACAUCGGAACGUGCCCAGUCGUGGGGGAUAACGUAGCGAAAGCUACGCUAAUACCGCAUACGAUCUACGGAUGAAAGCGGGGGACUCGCAAGAGCCUCGCGCGAUUGGAGCGGCCGAUGGCAGAUUAGGUAGUUGGUGGGGUAAGGACUCACCAAGCCUGCGAUCUGUAGCUGGUCUGAGAGGACGACCAGCCACACUGGAACUGAGACACGGUCCAGACUCCUACGGGAGGCAGCAGUGGGGAAUUUUGGACAAUGGGCGCAAGCCUGAUCCAGCCAUUCCGCGUGCAGGAUGAAGGCCUUCGGGUUGUAAACUAGCUUUUGUACGGAACGAAAGGUUUUACUCUAAUACAGAGGGCGUCAUGACGGUACCGUAAGAAUAAG
Molecule: ribosomal RNA, 469 nt
Filed under: uncultured bacterium
Lineage: Bacteria
Description: bacterial SSU rRNA
Rfam family: Bacterial small subunit ribosomal RNA
Source: RNAcentral